This 492-nucleotide ribosomal RNA is filed under the name uncultured bacterium. Its description in RNAcentral is "partial 16S ribosomal RNA". It matches the Rfam family "Bacterial small subunit ribosomal RNA", at positions 29 to 507 of the family's 1533-position model. The record is from RNAcentral.
AGUGAACGCUGGCGGUAUGCCUAACACAUGCAAGUCGAACGGCAGCACAGUAAUAGCUUGCUCUGACGGGUGGCGAGUGGCGGACGGGGGGGGAAUACAUCUGAAUCGACUUUUUCGUGGGGGAUAACGGAGGGAAACUGACGCUAAUAUCUGAUACGACCGACGAGUGAAAGCAGGGGAUCUUCGGACCGUGGGCGAGUGAAUGAGCCGAAGUCGGAUUAGCUAGUGGGCGGGGUAAAGGCCCACCAAGGCCACGAUCCGAAGCUGGUCUGAGAGGGUGAUCAGCCACACUGGCACUGAGACACGGCCCACACUCCUGCGGGAGGACGCAGUGGGGACUCUUGGACAAUGGGCGCAAGCCUGAUACAGCAAUACGGCGUGAGUGAAGAAGGCCUUCGGGUUGUAAAGCCCUUUUGUUGGGAAAGAAAAGCAGCAGGUUAAUCACCCGCUGUUAUGACGGUACCUAAAGAAUAAGCACCGGCUAACUUCGUG